This 484-nucleotide ribosomal RNA is filed under the name uncultured bacterium. RNAcentral's name for it is "partial 16S ribosomal RNA". It matches the Rfam family "Bacterial small subunit ribosomal RNA", at positions 30 to 507 of the family's 1533-position model. The record is from RNAcentral.
AUUGAACGCUGGCGGCAGGCCUAACACAUGCAAGUCGAGCGGAUGAAGGGAGCUUGCUCCUGGAUUCAGCGGCGGACGGGUGAGUAAUGCCUAGGAAUCUGCCUGGUAGUGGGGGAUAACGUCCGGAAACGGGCGCUAAUACCGCAUACGUCCUGAGGGAGAAAGUGGGGGAUCUUCGGACCUCACGCUAUCAGAUGAGCCUAGGUCGGAUUAGCUAGUUGGUGGGGUAAAGGCCUACCAAGGCGACGAUCCGUAACUGGUCUGAGAGGAUGAUCAGUCACACUGGAACUGAGACACGGUCCAGAAUCCUACGGGAGGCAGCAGUGGGGAAUAUUGGACAAUGGGCGAAAGCCUGAUCCAGCAAUGCCGCGUGUGUGAAGAAGGUAUUCGGAUUGUAAAGCACUUUAAGUUGGGAGGAAGGGCAGUAAGUUAAUACCUUGCUGUUUUGACGUUACCAACAGAAUAAGCACCGGCUAACUUCGUG